CAGCUGCAGGGGAUGACACCAAAGAUGCAAGCACUGAGUUCACUGACAGUAUUGAGGAGGCCGCACACCAUAGUCACCAGCAACUCAUCAAGGUGGCUUUGGAGAAAAGUCUGGCAAUUGUGGAGACCCAGAACCCAUCUUUUUCCCCUCCUUCCCCGAUGGGAGGGGACAGUAACAGGUGUCUUCAAGGAAGAAAUGCUCCACCUGAGGGCUGAGAUCCACCAGCACUUAGAAGAGAAGAGGAAAGCUGAGGAGGAACUGAAGGAGCUAAAGGCUCAAACUGAGGAAGCAAGAUUCUCCUCAGUGUCCCACAUCAGCAGGUGAAUCCUUGGUGAAGCAGGACAGCAAGCAGGUCCAGGUGAACCUCCAGGACCUGGGCUAUGAGACUUGUGGCUGAAGCGAGAAUCAGGCUGAACAGGAGGAAACCACCAGU
Molecule: long non-coding RNA, 433 nt
Filed under: Pan troglodytes (chimpanzee)
Lineage: Eukaryota; Metazoa; Chordata; Mammalia; Primates; Hominidae
Description: long non-coding RNA NONPTRT008811
Source: RNAcentral